UACAGAGGGUGCAAGCGUUAAUCGGAAUUACUGGGCGUAAAGGGCGCGUAGGUGGUUAUUUAAGUUGUAUGUGAAAACCCUGGGCUUAACCUAGGAAUUGCAUAUAAAACUGAUUAGCUAGAGUGCGGUAGAGGGAAGUGGAAUUUCCGGUGUAGCGGUGAAAUGCGUAGAUAUCGGAAGGAACAUCAGUGGCGAAGGCGACUUCCUGGACCGUUACUGACACUGAGGCACGAAAGCGUGGGGAGCGAACAGG
RNAcentral lists this ribosomal RNA (253 nucleotides) under uncultured bacterium. RNAcentral's name for it is "partial 16S ribosomal RNA". It matches the Rfam family "Bacterial small subunit ribosomal RNA", at positions 524 to 776 of the family's 1533-position model. The record is from RNAcentral.